CAAUACCAAACACUUAAAUUUUAAAUUAAACUUUUCAAAAGCAUUUCUUAAAAGCACUUUUCCAUAACAAUUUUCAAAAAUACUUUUUAAAAGCAUUGCCAAACUAGCCCUUAAUCUCAUUGGUUCCAUAUACCCAAAACAUAGCAGUUUCCAAAAACCAAAACCUUUUUUGCUACCUGUCCCUUUACCAGAGCAGCCUCCAAGCAGCUUUCAAUCAAUCCGAGUUUCUUUGCCUUCUCAUCUCCAACACACGACGAACCAAGUCAGACAAAUCUCUGUCCAGGUAAAAUUCCUCCCCCUCCUUCAAACUUUCAUAGGCUAGGGUGUGAGCAAGGAGAUUCUUAGAUUUAGGUGUAUAUUGGAAAACUAACCUCUGAAAAUGUACUUUUUGCCGGUGGAUAUCCCUAAUAAUGGCCCCAAUUACUGACUUAUUUGGGUUUGCUGAACUGCAUUUCUUGAUUCUUGUCAUUGAAUCACCUUCGAUUAUUACAGAUUCGAGGCCCAGGUGAAUCCCCAACUGAAUAGCUUGUAAGCAUGCAUGCGCCUUCGCUGCAAAUGGUGAUGGUACUGCUUUGUGGAGGACCACUUUCGAAGCCAGAAUCUUCCCCCCCCCCCCGGCCGGAGUUCGUAGCCACUACCCCAGAUCCAGAUUUUUACAUUGUUACCAUUCGAGGGGAUUUGGAGACUAAUUUUGAAUUUAAAAUUAAAAAAAAACAUAAAACCAAAGUUAUGAUUUAACAACUUGAUGAAUGGGUCGGUGAUUAAGACUCUGUUUGUUUGCCAGUAAAAUAUUUUCCGGAAAGUGAUUUCGGGAAAAUGAUUUACUUUUCUGGUGUUUGGAUGAAUCUGUGUAAAAUAUUUUCUGUUGUUUGGCAGAUUUCCUAAAAAUAUUAUCCGGA
Molecule: long non-coding RNA, 899 nt
Filed under: Gossypium barbadense (sea-island cotton)
Lineage: Eukaryota; Viridiplantae; Streptophyta; Magnoliopsida; Malvales; Malvaceae
Description: long non-coding RNA (GBAR_LNC005684)
Source: RNAcentral